This 569-nucleotide ribosomal RNA is filed under the name Russula violeipes. Its description in RNAcentral is "eukaryotic LSU rRNA". It matches the Rfam family "Eukaryotic large subunit ribosomal RNA", at positions 23 to 591 of the family's 3401-position model. Lineage: Eukaryota; Fungi; Basidiomycota; Agaricomycetes; Russulales; Russulaceae. The record is from RNAcentral.
ACCCGCUGAACUUAAGCAUAUCAAUAAGCGGAGGAAAAGAAACUAACAAGGAUUCCCCUAGUAACUGCGAGUGAAGCGGGAAAAGCUCAAAUUUAAAAUCUGGUGGCCUUUGGUCAUCCGAGUUGUAAUUUAGAGAAGCGUCUUCCGCGCUGAACCGUGCACAAGUCUCCUGGAAUGGAGCGUCAUAGAGGGUGAGAAUCCCGUCUUUGGCACGGAACAUCAGGGCUUCUGUGAUGCGCUCUCGACGAGUCGAGUUGUUUGGGAAUGCAGCUCAAAAUGGGUGGUGAACUCCAUCUAAAGCUAAAUAUUGGCGAGAGACCGAUAGCGAACAAGUACCGUGAGGGAAAGAUGAAAAGCACUUUGGAAAGAGAGUGAAACAGUACGUGAAAUUGUUGAAAGGGAAACGCUUGAAGUCAGUCGCGUCGACCGAGACUCAGCCUUGCCUUGGCUUGGUGUACUUCUCGGCUGAUGGGUCAGCAUCAAUUUUGAUCCUCGGAUAAUGGCAAGGGAAAGGUAGCACCUUUUUAGGUGUGUUAUAGUCCUUCGUCGCAUACGGGGGUUGGGAUUGA